This 1492-nucleotide ribosomal RNA is filed under the name uncultured Oxalobacteraceae bacterium. Its description in RNAcentral is "16S ribosomal RNA". It matches the Rfam family "Bacterial small subunit ribosomal RNA". Lineage: Bacteria; Pseudomonadati; Pseudomonadota; Betaproteobacteria; Burkholderiales; Oxalobacteraceae. The record is from RNAcentral.
AGAGUUUGAUCCUGGCUCAGAUUGAACGCUGGCGGCAUGCCUUACACAUGCAAGUCGAACGGCAGCACGGAGCUUGCUCUGGUGGCGAGUGGCGAACGGGUGAGUAAUAUAUCGGAACGUACCCUGGAGUGGGGGAUAACGUAGCGAAAGUUACGCUAAUACCGCAUACGAUCUCAGGAUGAAAGCAGGGGACCGCAAGGCCUUGUGCUCCUGGAGCGGCCGAUAUCUGAUUAGCUAGUUGGUGGGGUAAAAGCCCACCAAGGCAUCGAUCAGUAGCUGGUCUGAGAGGACGACCAGCCACACUGGAACUGAGACACGGUCCAGACUCCUACGGGAGGCAGCAGUGGGGAAUUUUGGACAAUGGGGGCAACCCUGAUCCAGCAAUGCCGCGUGAGUGAAGAAGGCCUUCGGGUUGUAAAGCUCUUUUGUCAGGGAAGAAAAGGCUGUGGCUAAUAUCUACGGCUCAUGACGGUACCUGAAGAAUAAGCACCGGCUAACUACGUGCCAGCAGCCGCGGUAAUACGUAGGGUGCAAGCGUUAAUCGGAAUUACUGGGCGUAAAGCGUGCGCAGGCGGUUUUGUAAGUCUGUUGUGAAAUCCCCGGGCUCAACCUGGGAAUGGCAAUGGAGACUGCAAGGCUAGAGUUUGGCAGAGGGGGGUAGAAUUCCACGUGUAGCAGUGAAAUGCGUAGAUAUGUGGAGGAACACCGAUGGCGAAGGCAGCCCCCUGGGUCAAAACUGACGCUCAUGCACGAAAGCGUGGGGAGCAAACAGGAUUAGAUACCCUGGUAGUCCACGCCCUAAACGAUGUCUACUAGUUGUCGGGUCUUAAUUGACUUGGUAACGCAGCUAACGCGUGAAGUAGACCGCCUGGGGAGUACGGUCGCAAGAUUAAAACUCAAAGGAAUUGACGGGGACCCGCACAAGCGGUGGAUGAUGUGGAUUAAUUCGAUGCAGCGCGAAAAACCUUACCUACCCUUGACAUGUACGGAACGCCGAAGAGAUUUGGUGGUGCUCGAAAGAGAGCCGUAACACAGGUGCUGCAUGGCUGUCGUCAGCUCGUGUCGUGAGAUGUUGGGUUAAGUCCCGCAACGAGCGCAACCCUUGUCAUUAGUUGCUACGAAAGAGCACUCUAAUGAGACUGCCGGUGACAAACCGGAGGAAGGUGGGGAUGACGUCAAGUCCUCAUGGCCCUUAUGGGUAGGGCUUCACACGUCAUACAAUGGUACAUACAGAGGGCCGCCAACCCGCGAGGGGGAGCUAAUCCCAGGAAGUGUAUCGUAGUCCGGAUUGUAGUCUGCAACUCGACUGCAUGAAGUUGGAAUCGCUAGUAAUCGCGGAUCAGCAUGUCGCGGUGAAUACGUUCCCGGGUCUUGUACACACCGCCCGUCACACCAUGGGAGCGGGUUUUACCAGAAGUAGGUAGCUUAACCGUAAGGAGGGCGCUUACCACGGUAGGAUUCGUGACUGGGGUGAAGUCGUAACAAGGUAACC